AUCACGUCUUGGCCUUUUGGCUAAAAUCAAGUGUAGUAUCUGUUCUUAUCAGUUUAAUAUCUGAUAUGUUCUGUAUCCAAGGACAAUAUAUUAAAUGGAUUUUUGGAGCAGGGAAAUGGAAUAGGAGCUUGCUCUAUCCACUCCACACAUUGACCUGGUAUCGCAGUACCUUCAGGAACAGUGCACUCUCC
Molecule: small nuclear RNA, 191 nt
Organism: Marmota marmota marmota (Alpine marmot)
Lineage: Eukaryota; Metazoa; Chordata; Mammalia; Rodentia; Sciuridae
Gene: U2
Rfam family: U2 spliceosomal RNA
About the family: U2 is a small nuclear RNA (snRNA) component of the spliceosome (involved in pre-mRNA splicing). Complementary binding between U2 snRNA (in an area lying towards the 5' end but 3' to hairpin I) and the branchpoint sequence (BPS) of the intron results the bulging out of an unpaired adenosine, on the BPS, which initiates a nucleophilic attack at the intronic 5' splice site, thus starting the first of two transesterification reactions that mediate splicing.
Source: Ensembl